UACGGAGGGUGCAAGCGUUAUCCGGAAUCACUGGGUUUAAAGGGUGCGUAGGCGGCUUGAUAAGUCAGGGGUGAAAGCCCGCAGCUUAACUGCGGAACUGCCUUUGAUACUGUCGAGCUUGAAAGAGGUUGAGGUCAGCUGAACGUGACAUGUAGCGGUGAAAUGCAUAGAUAUGUCACAGAACACCGAUUGCGAAGGCAGCUGGCUGGACCUACUUUGACUCUGAGGCACGAAAGCGCGGGGCGCGAACAGG
RNAcentral lists this ribosomal RNA (253 nucleotides) under uncultured bacterium. RNAcentral's name for it is "partial 16S ribosomal RNA". It matches the Rfam family "Bacterial small subunit ribosomal RNA", at positions 524 to 776 of the family's 1533-position model. The record is from RNAcentral.